UCGCUAGUUGUCAGCGAGUAGUGGGAUCGUGCAGCACCUAUCGCAGGGAGCGGAGCAGAAUCGUAGCCGUUGACACAGCCUGUCAGAGAGUAGUGGGUCCGCCGCAGGGGGAGGUGGAACCGCACGGAAUCCGCUACAGGAAGUGGAAUAGGAUCAUGGCAGUUAUUGUUAUCUGCCAAGGGACGCGGAUCUGUUGAUCAAGGCUCG
RNAcentral lists this long non-coding RNA (207 nucleotides) under Elaeis guineensis (African oil palm). Its description in RNAcentral is "long non-coding RNA (EGUI_LNC053065)". Lineage: Eukaryota; Viridiplantae; Streptophyta; Magnoliopsida; Arecales; Arecaceae. The record is from RNAcentral.